Molecule: ribosomal RNA, 253 nt
Filed under: uncultured bacterium
Lineage: Bacteria
Description: partial 16S ribosomal RNA
Rfam family: Bacterial small subunit ribosomal RNA
Source: RNAcentral
UACAGAGGGGGCAAGCGUUACUCGGAAUUAUUGGGCGUAAAGGGCGCGUAGGCGAUUUGAAAAGUCUUGUGUGAAAGCCCCGAGCUUAACUCGGGAAGUGCACAAGAAACUGUUGAAUUUGAGUUCCGGAGAGGAAGGCAGAAUUCCCGGUGUAGCGGUGAAAUGCGUAGAGAUCAUGAGGAAGACCAGUGGCGAAGGCGGGUCUCUGGACAGUUCCUGACACUGAGACACGAAGGCCAGGGGAGCAAGCGGG